Molecule: ribosomal RNA, 491 nt
Filed under: Paenibacillaceae bacterium CL5.68
Lineage: Bacteria; Bacillati; Bacillota; Bacilli; Caryophanales; Paenibacillaceae
Description: bacterial SSU rRNA
Rfam family: Bacterial small subunit ribosomal RNA
Source: RNAcentral
CCCUGGCUCAGGACGAACGCUGGCGGCGUGCCUAAUACAUGCAAGUCGAGCGGAGCACUUCGGUGCUUAGCGGCGGACGGGUGAGUAACACGUAGGUAACCUGCCUAUCAGACUGGGAUAACUAUCGGAAACGAUAGCUAAGACCGGAUAACUGGUUUUCUCGCAUGAGAGAAUCAUGAAACACGGAGCAAUCUGUGGCUGAUAGAUGGGCCUGCGGCGCAUUAGCUAGUUGGUAGGGUAACGGCCUACCAAGGCGACGAUGCGUAGCCGACCUGAGAGGGUGAACGGCCACACUGGGACUGAGACACGGCCCAGACUCCUACGGGAGGCAGCAGUAGGGAAUCUUCCGCAAUGGACGCAAGUCUGACGGAGCAACGCCGCGUGAGUGAUGAAGGUUUUCGGAUCGUAAAGCUCUGUUGCCCUAGACGAACAGCAAGGUGAGUAACUGCRCUUUGUGUGACGGUAUAGGAGAAGAAAGCCCCGGCUAACUA